AAUAUGAAAAUUCGUGUAACAUAAAAUUUUCCAUCUAAAAAAUGGUUAAAAUUUAAAACAGCAAACCCAUCUAACUUUUAUUAACCCAGUUGAAUGGCAGUCAACAGUCCCAUUUACCAUGCAAUCCAACUUCAAAACUCUACAGAUGGGCAGCAUUCAUGAUACAUCUACCUCACAUGUCGCAUAAUUUCAGGAUUGAUUUCUGGCUAUCACCUCAUCUACAAGUAAACUUUACCCUUAUAGAAUAUUGAUUAUUAUAAUUAUUAUAAAUCACAGUGCCCCAAUUGGGCUAAUCUUAAUUGACAAUUGAUUAUACUCUGAAACUUGACUUUGAAAGCAUUUCUAUAUAAAUAGCAUGCUGCAUGCACCAUGGCAACUCUCUUUACUCAAACCAAACAAAUUCAGAAAGCGUCGGCAACAUUUUGUUGCCAUUUCUUGUCUCGCCAUGGACAUCGACCACUGGUGCAGCGGCUACGAUCGCAUUAAUAUUUCGCUUAACGGAAUGGUUUCAGGAUCAAAAACACCAAGAUGGAGAGUCCUCUGGAGGAAGAUAAUGAGAGAAAAGAAACGAAUUUUCGACUGUUCAUCAAGUAGCUGUACUCGUGUGCAUGAGCCUUAUGAUCCUUUAUCUUAUUCUCGAAACUUUGAUGAUCAGGGGUUGAUGUGGGCUGAUCCUGAUAACGUUUCCAGAUCUUUUUCUGCUCGGUUUGCCGUUCCUUCAAGAGUUUUUCAGAAUAGUGGUGGAUUUCAGCUGGUCUGAUCAUGAAUAUUGAUGUGAGAAUUGAAAAAACUAAACUGUAUGUAACUUUUGGCUUUUUAGUUUUAAUGUUUCUUCACUUUGCCCUUUACAGUUAUUUUAUAAUAUGAAGAGUUGCAUCUUAUCAUGUUUAUCAUCUUCUUGGCUGUUUGUUUUUGGCUUAUCUUCCAUCAACUUGAUAUUGUUUUAAACGGAAGUUUUGAUUUUAUUAUUUGGCGUCAAUGCAGCUGCAUUUUCGGUGCUAAUCUGAGAGUUAUUAAAAUCGUAUUCAUAAGAAUCCUAAUUUAGUGGCCCAGCUGACACUUCUUCAAUGGGGAACCAGCUGUUUUGCUUAGAAAAAUGACAUGAAAGCAUGUGCAAAACAAUGUAAACAUUCUAAACUAACUUCAAACUAAACAUAAUCAAAACCUUGGUCUUGUUUUAAGGGUUUUGUCAGCACGUAAUUUGAUUCAUUUUAAGAUAAGAACAUGAUUUAAAGUGUUUUAAUUGCUGUAAAAAUUCCUGCCGUCUUAAAUUCUUCAAAAUCCCUUUAACAUUAAAAUAUCGAUCUCUGCAUUGGAUUCUUUUAUUGGUAGGGACACAGGAUUUGACUAUUCACAUUUGCAACCCUAUCUCCAAGGACCCAUCUGUCUCCAUUGCUAUGAAUAUUGAAUGUAGAAUUCUAUUGGCCAGAAAAGUCUUAGAAGGUUCACGUUCAGAUCACAGCCAUGAAUUAGUCCACUUAAGGAAGCAAUCAGUUGAAGCUUCAAGUCUCAUUAAAAUGUGCACUUUCUACGGUGGGAAAGUGAUGAUAGGAAAUUAUUGACCGGAAGAGUUUUUGGGAUCUAAUCAAAAGCCGGAACCACUGAAUUCAGAAAUAAUCUGCUUGAUGGCUUAGUAUAUAACUGUUCCUGAUAAUUUCAGCAUUUUAUAUUGAGUAAAUGUGAGAAAUGAUUUCUUUUCCAAGAGAUAAGAACAUUUAUGAACAC
Molecule: long non-coding RNA, 1725 nt
Organism: Mangifera indica (mango)
Lineage: Eukaryota; Viridiplantae; Streptophyta; Magnoliopsida; Sapindales; Anacardiaceae
Exons: 2
Source: RefSeq, a predicted model, not a curated record